GCCAAGCAAGAAGAGGCAGCAUAAACACUGUGAACAUGUCCGGUUCCUUCCGACCUUUUUAUACUUCACUGUGAAGCUGAACAUUGACCUUCACUUCCACGGAGGACUCUUUCUGCUGCCUCGCAAAGGCAACUCUUCAUCUUUGUAAUAACAGGGGAGCUGGCUGGACCUGGUGCUUCUCCAGCAUCUCAAGUGUUAUCUGAUGUGGGCCCAUUAUCACUGGGAAUAAAAUAAACUGUCUUUUUUGGUAAGCGAGUGAGGAGCGGUGUAAGUGUGGAGCAGGUUCAAGGCUCUUUGGAGGUAAAGCGCACAAACAGAAACCAAAGCGGGGUCCAGAAGAUGGCUUUGGUGUUUUCUGCUUGCAAAUCAUGGAGAUGAGAUUUGGAAUUUCCUCUAAGACCUAAAACUAAGAAGAGCAGGUCCCUGAGGAAUGUUCAGCAAGGUGGCAGGAAACGUCCUGGAUGCACUAGAGAUGUACCUGUCUCUGCAGCCAUGUGAUGUGGCGUGAUGAAGGAAUAACUCAAGAAGAGCAGAUGUCAAUGUCUAGGGUGAUUUGGAGAACCACGGGAUAUGGAAGGAAGCACCUCCAUCAGCCUGGAUCCUUGAGUGACUACAUGGAGCAAAACUAUAUUGCCUUCAUUACCGACUGAACUACAUGACCAGGGACAGAGCAGCCAACAAGACCCACAGGCGUGUUCUCCUGGAACCCUCAUUCCCAUGGAAGAGACAGACACUGGACAAGCAAUAAUCAAGUAAGCACAUAAAUG
This is a long non-coding RNA of Sciurus carolinensis (gray squirrel), 767 nucleotides long. RefSeq lists it as uncharacterized. The transcript is spliced from 4 exons. NCBI's taxonomy places the organism in Eukaryota, Metazoa, Chordata, Mammalia, Rodentia, Sciuridae. The record is from RefSeq and is a predicted model, not a curated record.